UCGGGUCUAGCGGCGGACGGGUGAGUAACGCGUGGGAACGUGCCCUUCUCUACGGAAUAGCCCCGGGAAACUGGGAGUAAUACCGUAUACGCCCUUUGGGGGAAAGAUUUAUCGGAGAAGGAUCGGCCCGCGUUGGAUUAGGUAGUUGGUGAGGUAACGGCUCACCAAGCCGACGAUCCAUAGCUGGUUUGAGAGGAUGAUCAGCCACACUGGGACUGAGACACGGCCCAGACUCCUACGGGAGGCAGCAGUGGGGAAUCUUAGACAAUGGGGGCAACCCUGAUCUAGCCAUGCCGCGUGAGUGAUGAAGGCCUUAGGGUUGUAAAGCUCUUUCAGCUGGGAAGAUAAUGACGGUACCAGCAGAAGAAGCCCCGGCUAACUCCGUGCCAGCAGCCGCGGUAAUACGGAGGGGGCUAGCGUUGUUCGGAAUUACUGGGCGUAAAGCGCACGUAGGCGGACUGGAAAGUCAGAGGUGAAAUCCCAGGGCUCAACCUUGGAACUGCCUUUGAAACUAUCAGUCUGGAGUUCGAGAGAGGUGAGU
This 541-nucleotide ribosomal RNA is filed under the name Paracoccus sp. Air250. RNAcentral describes it as "bacterial SSU rRNA". It matches the Rfam family "Bacterial small subunit ribosomal RNA", at positions 86 to 662 of the family's 1533-position model. The record is from RNAcentral. Lineage: Bacteria; Pseudomonadati; Pseudomonadota; Alphaproteobacteria; Rhodobacterales; Paracoccaceae.